RNAcentral lists this non-coding RNA (29 nucleotides) under Homo sapiens (human). The record is from RNAcentral. RNAcentral also lists the same sequence under 1 other name. Lineage: Eukaryota; Metazoa; Chordata; Mammalia; Primates; Hominidae.
UGAUGAAGGAUGCUCAUGGAGUGGUGAUC